This 156-nucleotide small nuclear RNA is filed under the name Canis lupus familiaris (dog). Its description in RNAcentral is "U4 spliceosomal RNA (ENSCAFG00000021333.3, ENSCAFG00040006780.1, ENSCAFG00805002446.1, ENSCAFG00845001128.1)". The stretch from base 1 to 127 matches the Rfam family "U4 spliceosomal RNA". From Rfam's summary of the family: U4 small nuclear RNA (U4 snRNA) is a component of the major U2-dependent spliceosome. The structure of U4 snRNA from yeast and human has been reported. Lineage: Eukaryota; Metazoa; Chordata; Mammalia; Carnivora; Canidae. The record is from RNAcentral.
AACUUUGCGCAGUGGCAGUAUCAUAGCCAAUGAGGUUUAUCUGAGGCACGAUUAUUGCUAAUUGAAAACUAGACCAUGUCUUCUUUAUCCACUCAUCUGUUGAAGGACAUCUGGGGUCUUUCCAUAGUUUGGCUAUUGUGGACAUUGCUGCUGUGA